ACGGGAGGCAGCAGUGGGGAAUAUUGCACAAUGGGGGAAACCCUGAUGCAGCGACGCCGCGUGAGUGAAGAAGUAUUUCGGUAUGUAAAGCUCUAUCAGCAGGAAAGAAAAUGACGGUACCUGACUAAGAAGCUCCGGCUAACUACGUGCCAGCAGCCGCGGUAAUACGUAGGGGGCAAGCGUUAUCCGGAUUUACUGGGUGUAAAGGGAGCGUAGACGGCUUUGCAAGUCUGAAGUGAAAGCCCGGGGCUCAACCCCGGAACUGCUUUGGAAACUGUAGAGCUAGAGUUCAGGAGAGGUAAGUGGAAUUCCUAGUGUAGCGGUGAAAUGCGUAGAUAUUAGGAGGAACACCAGUGGCGAAGGCGGCUUACUGGACUGUAACUGACGUUGAGGCUCGAAGGCGUGGGGAGCAAACAGGAUUAGAUACCCUGGUA
RNAcentral lists this ribosomal RNA (434 nucleotides) under uncultured Lachnospiraceae bacterium. Its description in RNAcentral is "partial 16S ribosomal RNA". It matches the Rfam family "Bacterial small subunit ribosomal RNA", at positions 341 to 792 of the family's 1533-position model. The record is from RNAcentral. Lineage: Bacteria; Bacillati; Bacillota; Clostridia; Lachnospirales; Lachnospiraceae.